RNAcentral lists this unclassified non-coding RNA (21 nucleotides) under Mus musculus (house mouse). RNAcentral describes it as "oocyte_clustered_small_RNA12113". The record is from RNAcentral. Lineage: Eukaryota; Metazoa; Chordata; Mammalia; Rodentia; Muridae.
UGCAUCAGCUCCUGCUGUCUG